UACGGGGGGGGCAAGCGUUGUUCGGAAUUACUGGGCGUAAAGGGUUUGUAGGCGGCUUGCUAAGUCAGACGUGAAAUCCCUCAGCUUAACUGGGGAACUGCGUCUGAGACUGGUGAGCUUGAGUGCAGGAGAGGAACGCGGAAUUCCUGGUGUAGCGGUGAAAUGCGCAGAUAUCAGGAAGAACACCUAUGGCGAAGGCAGCUCUCUGGGACGGUACUGACGCUGAGACGCGAAAGCGUGGGGAGCGAACAGG
This 253-nucleotide ribosomal RNA is filed under the name uncultured bacterium. RNAcentral's name for it is "partial 16S ribosomal RNA". It matches the Rfam family "Bacterial small subunit ribosomal RNA", at positions 524 to 776 of the family's 1533-position model. The record is from RNAcentral.